Molecule: non-coding RNA, 1387 nt
Organism: Dermatophagoides farinae (American house dust mite)
Lineage: Eukaryota; Metazoa; Arthropoda; Arachnida; Sarcoptiformes; Pyroglyphidae
Source: RefSeq, a predicted model, not a curated record
GUCACAAUUCAUUAUUAUAGUAAACAAUAUCAUUUCAUAAAUAGACAAAAAGAUCAUCAACAUCGAAAUUGAAAAUCAUAUACCAAUGAUUCACUGAAUACAACGGAUCAAUUCAAAGUUAUUUGAACAAUGGCAAUCCAAAAAAAAAAAAAAAAAAUUUCUUCUGUUGCUCUCUUUUUAACUUGUUUAUUCAAAUUUCAAUCUAAAAAUUCAUUAUUAUAUCGAUGUCGAAUUUUCUCUCUGAAAUUUUCAACCCUUUUUUUGUGUGUUGAACCAAAUUAAUAAUGUGCCCAUAAAAUCAUUGAACAUGAACAAACAAAGGACAUGACUAUUAUUAUUGACCGAGUACAAUGUUUGUCCCGUUUCAUAUGAUUGAUCUAAAUAAUUUUCCUGAUCAUCAUCACCAAUGAUUAGAGAAAGAGAGAGAGAGAAGCCUAAUCAUUAACAUCAUUGGAUCGAUACAAAACAAAAAACGGAUAUUCAUUCAAUGGGCAAGAUAUCUGUGUACGAUAACUAUUGCAAUAUAGGAUGCUAACUUAUUAAUGAUGAUCAUCAUCAUCAUCAUCAUCAAUAUUAUUUUAUACAUCCUCAUAUUUGUUGGAAAAAAAAUAAUCAGCUGCAAUAAUUUAGAUUAAAACAAUAUGUGGCCAUCAUUAUUUCUAUGGUACAUGCCACCGCCACGGAACAUAACUAACAUUAUAUAUUAUAUUAUGAAUGAUAAUGAUGACGAAUAUGGUCGAAAUAAAUUCGAAUGUAUAAAAAAUCAAUAGUAAUAGUAAUAACAAAGACGAUGAAGAAAUACAAAAUUUUGAAGUCGAAAAUAACAUCAAUAAAAUAUAGAAAACAUUUAUAUAUUUUGAAUCGUUAAACGAAUAACCGUGUAUAGUCCGUACUAUCUGUUUAUUGGACUCUCUCCUAAUAUCCAUCCAGCUAUCAUCAACCGAACAAACGAACGAUGAUGAUGAUACAUUUCGGAUGUUCGGGAAAACAGAAAUGAAAUAGUUUCGUUCAACUAUGUUUCUAAGAGUGAGAGUAUUUUGCCGUAUCAAAUAUCUUGGGAUCACUCUAAAAUGAUAGUGAAAGAGAAUUUCGUUUUUUUUGGCGCUUACCGUUCAAAAUCAUUCUCUAUUCAUACUUUUAAUCGUAAUGACCAAACAUCAACCACCACCAAAAAGAUGUGGUCGUGGUAGAUUUUAUGAAAUGAAUUGUAGAUAGAACAUCAUCAUCAUCAUCAUCAUCUUGUUGAUGAUGUGUGGUAUAUAAAUGGAAAACAUCUUCAAUCCAUUUAGGAUUCGUAUUCGUAGAAACUUUGUUCAUCUUCAAAUGGUUUUUUAUUUUUAUUUUAUUUGGUGAAUGGUUUAAUUGUUUUUUUUUCACUGAAAUUAAU